RNAcentral lists this ribosomal RNA (429 nucleotides) under Gemmatimonadota bacterium. Its description in RNAcentral is "Gemmatimonadetes bacterium partial 16S ribosomal RNA". It matches the Rfam family "Bacterial small subunit ribosomal RNA", at positions 355 to 776 of the family's 1533-position model. The record is from RNAcentral. Lineage: Bacteria; Pseudomonadati; Gemmatimonadota.
UAGGGAAUCUUCGGCGAUGGACGAAAGUCUGACCGAGCAACGCCGCGUGAGUGAAGAAGGUUUUCGGAUCGUAAAACUCUGUUGUUAGAGAAGAACAAGGACGUUAGUAACUGAACGUCCCCUGACGGUAUCUAACCAGAAAGCCACGGCUAACUACGUGCCAGCAGCCGCGGUAAUACGUAGGUGGCAAGCUUUGUCCGGAUUUAUUGGGCGUAAAGCGAGCGCAGGCGGUUUCUUAAGUCUGAUGUGAAAGCCCCCGGCUCAACCGGGGAGGGUCAUUGGAAACUGGGAGACUUGAGUGCAGAAGAGGAGAGUGUAAUUCCAUGUGUAGCGGUGAAAUGCAUAGAUAUAUGGAGGAACACCAGUGGCGAAGGCGGCUCUCUGGUCUGUAACUGACGCUGAGGCUCGAAAGCGUGGGGAGCAAACAGG